This is a long non-coding RNA of Herpailurus yagouaroundi (jaguarundi), 2824 nucleotides long. RefSeq lists it as uncharacterized. The record is from RefSeq and is a predicted model, not a curated record. Lineage: Eukaryota; Metazoa; Chordata; Mammalia; Carnivora; Felidae. The transcript is spliced from 2 exons.
GUCCCCCUCUCUUUCUGCCCCUCCCCCACUCUUGCUCUCUCAAAAAUAAACAUACAUUUAAAAAUAAUAAAUGAAGUAUACAUUACAGUGAUCAGAAUAGAAUUCCUUCCCAGCUGGCUGUAUACGUAGGGACCCAGCCAGAGGGAUGACGGCCACAAGGUUGCUGGCUGCCCAUCCUUCUCCCGCACACCCCACAAAACGGACUCUUUCCUUCCUGCCCCCAACUUCCAAAGGAUGGGCACCUGAAACUUAAUGUUAUCAGGAGAUGUGCAUCACGCAUCAUACACGUGAGGAUACAAUUUCAAAACCCAUGAGUCCAUCAUGCAACUGAGCAGAAACUUCUUUAAAAGUCGACAUAGGGCAGCCUUCGUGAAAGUACGAGUGCAUGCACGCUUUCCUUGAGGUCCUUAAAGUAAGUGUGAAAAUUCGUGCCUGACACCGUUACAGCAACGGGAGGCCCAGCAGACAAGCUGGGAAGGCGCGCGACGUUCCCAAUUACUCCUAGAUCAUCUAGGAACGACACACACAAAAGCGCUUUCAGCCGCCACCAAAAUGGGCCAGACGGGUUUGAUGACGGCCCUGGGCAGCCCAGGGGGCAGCACAGCUGACCAGAGAAGAACCCAGAAAUAGUAGCCAUCAGGAAGGCGCUGCGGCUUUUCAGCUCGGAUUCCUGAGCAGCAACCGAUAUGACAGGCGCAGAAAAGAAAAUAUGUUAAUGACUGUAUGAAAUCUGAAAAUAAAUGAAUCACAGGAAUGUCAUUUCUUAGCCUGCGAAAAGAAAAGGCUGCUAAGAACCCAGCUGUGUCCCCUGGCACAGCGGCCCACAGUAAACCCCACUGUCCCCCCCAGUGCCAUCAGGGUGCCCCGCAGAACCGGUGACAGGGGUUCCGUUCUCUCAUUAACUCACGUGCUCCUUUCUUAGCUGCAGUUAUUUGAGACUUGUCAAGUCGUUAUAAAAACAAUCUUUUUGUUCCCCUCAAACACAGGACUCAUACAUUCGGUUCAAUUAACUGAACAAAUCUACUAAACAUCUACUCUGGGUAAAACACCAUGCACAACUCUGCAGAUGGACGGCUGGGCUUCAGCCCGGCCUUCAAGAUGGUGCACACACAUAAACACACACACACACACACACACACACACACACACACACACACCACCUCACGUACACUUACCAGACACACAUACCACAUAUACAUACAUACAUACGUAACCAAAUGCUAAUAGGAAAACGAAUUCUGUGACAUCUGUUGGUAAGUAUCAUGUUUUUUUUCUAAAUAAACAACAGCGAGAUUCAGUGGAAACUUUGCCCAGCCUGCUUAACUAAAUAUCUGCGCGGGAGAAAAAAGGAAAUUUCUCCAAGGUGUUGAAUGGCUCUGGAGUUUCGUGCAGCAGAUUCCUGGCCACUCAAAGUGGGGUCCCCAGACCCCUGCAUCGGCAUCAUCUGGGAGCUCUUAGAGAUGCAGACUCUCAGGUGUUGCCCCGGACUCGUGGAUCAGGAUCCACAUCUUUACAGAACCCUCGGGUGUUCUCAUGGACCUUCAGGGAGGAGAAGCCGUGGGAUAAAACCUGGCGUGCAACCGUGACCAAGAACAGUCACUUAUUGUGGUUCACUUUUUCAAACUAUUGACGAAAAUCAAUUUCUACAACAAAUGAGGCUAGCCCACCAAUGGCUGGGAAUCCUUUGGCUAAUAUAAGGGAUAUAAUAAAACCAAUCAGUGAAACGGUCAGUUUUUGUGCAUCAGUAAACCUCUCAAGUUUACAGAGCCUACUUUCCCAGGUCAUUACAAAGAAAAUAAUGUCACAAAAGAGUCUAGGGGCUGCACCUUACCAAUGAGCUGACUCCCUCUAAUCUAGUGUCCUGUAACCAUAGCAACUCAAAUUUGCAGACUGAGCACACACACGCACGAAAAAGCAAGCAAACUAACACAAAGGAGUUUUUCCCCUUCUGGUCAUGGUUUGUGGUAGCCACAGGUGAGCAAGGUCAAGAAAGGCAAGGAUUUGCAUCAUCACAGAAAAAAGAAACAUACGCAGUAACUGUGGAAACUGGACACAAACUUCAGAAAUGACCUGCAAUUGGCAAAGGCGAAACCACUCUGUUUCAGUCACAGAAACAUUAACUAUGGGCAAAUUCCCCAAAAUAGCUGAAUUUGUGGAAGACGGUAACACAAAUGUUUUACCCAAGCACCAUCACACGUUGUGUGGUUUGCAGUGGAAUGGUUAAAUUACAUGUUGUAACAACUGGGUUAUUUACAUGUGCUCAGUCUAGAUUUUCACGUACUCUGAGGAUAUACUGGCCCUGACUUGAGUCAGCUAAUUCCUUAGGUGAAAGUCCCCAUCAAUUCCUGAAGGUCAGCAGGAUGGCAUCUCACCAAGUGUCAAGACUGAAGAAAUUCAGGUUAACUUCUCAAAUAUCCAACUGAUACCUAAGGAAGAUGGAAGGAUUGCAAUGAUCCUGCCCAUUUUAUGUUUCCUAAGCCAGUCCUCUGUAGAUUUCCUACUUAAAGAUCAAUAUACAUUUCCAUGGUAUUUACACAGAGAAAACAAAGCGGGAAAGCUUAAACCACUAACGACGUCCACCCAGGUCCACAGCCAUAGAUGGCCUCCUCCCUUGGAUAUUUCCAUAGAGUUUCCUGUUUUUCCGUUGGUCUCGGUCUCUCUCGCUUUCAGAUCAGAUAUUGCCUACUCUUUUUUCAGAACAGUUUACACACUGCCUGAAGUUUAAUGGAUGCCCAAAAGGAGAAAAUGACCACUCUGCUAAAAAGAGAGAGAGAGAGAGAGAGAGAGAGAGAGAGAGAGAGAGAUACUGAAUCACAGCAGGAGG